GAGCGGGGUAGAGGCGCGGCAUAGCAUGAGUACCGCCUUGGAGCCUGGGAAGCGAGGAAGGGACGGGAAAGGGCUGGCCGCCGAAGCAGCAGGGUUUCCCGGGCCCUGCUGCUGGGCUGGUGCUGAAAAAGUAUCAGACUGUCACUACCUGGAGAGGUAGUGGAGCGCUCCUCGCACG
This 178-nucleotide non-coding RNA is filed under the name Moorella sp. (in: firmicutes). Its description in RNAcentral is "Moorella sp. Lysine sequence". It matches the Rfam family "Lysine riboswitch aptamer". From Rfam's summary of the family: Riboswitches are metabolite binding domains within certain messenger RNAs that serve as precision sensors for their corresponding targets. Allosteric rearrangement of mRNA structure is mediated by ligand binding, and this results in modulation of gene expression. The record is from RNAcentral. Lineage: Bacteria; Bacillati; Bacillota; Clostridia; Neomoorellales; Neomoorellaceae.